CAUCCUUGCCCAGCCUCACUAGACAUUU
RNAcentral lists this non-coding RNA (28 nucleotides) under Rattus norvegicus (Norway rat). The record is from RNAcentral. Lineage: Eukaryota; Metazoa; Chordata; Mammalia; Rodentia; Muridae.